RNAcentral lists this non-coding RNA (29 nucleotides) under Mus musculus (house mouse). The record is from RNAcentral. Lineage: Eukaryota; Metazoa; Chordata; Mammalia; Rodentia; Muridae.
UGCAAAUAUUUUUAUUUUGGUGAGUGUGG